RNAcentral lists this long non-coding RNA (561 nucleotides) under Elaeis guineensis (African oil palm). RNAcentral's name for it is "long non-coding RNA (EGUI_LNC051959)". Lineage: Eukaryota; Viridiplantae; Streptophyta; Magnoliopsida; Arecales; Arecaceae. The record is from RNAcentral.
GUGGCGUCUUUCUGAACUCUCUCGACCGUCUGAGCUUCUCCAACAGCAGGACGUCCAUAGUAACCAGACCCCAUCCAGGUUUCUACGACGGUCGACCACCUUUCGGAUUUCAUCCGAGCUCCUACAAGAACCAGAUCUCUAUCCCGAACUUCUAUUGCAAGCGGACUUCAUCCGAGCUCCUACAAGAGUCGGACUCCAUCCGAACUUCUACAGUGGAUGGAUCACAGACGAACUCCUACAACGGAUGGGUUCCACCAGUCGGAUCUCUACUCCGAACUUCUUCCAGACUUCGUCAAUGACUGAGCUUCUCCAGCAGCAGGACUUCUACAAUAAGAAGUUUCCAUCCGAGCUUCCACAACAACCGAUCUUCGUCCGAGCUUCUAUAAUAAGAGGACUCCUUUCAGACUCCUACAAAAGUCAGACUCCAUCCGAACUUCUACAGCAGAAUUGAAUGUUGAAUUCUAAACUCCUCCGAUGUUCGACCUUCCAUAGUGUCCUCAAGACUCGUCCAGCGGACAAACCUCCACAAUGCCAUCCGAACUCCACUGUCGGAUGACCCCC